CAAGGGAUGCCGGGAACUCUAAGGGGACCGCUGUCGAUAAGACAGAGGAGGGAGAGGGCGACGGUAGGUCCGUAUGCCCCGAAUCCCCCGGGCAACACGCGGGCUACAAUGCGUAGGGCAGAGGGCUGCGACCCCGAAAGGGGGAGCUAAUCCCUAAACCUGCGCCUAGUUCGGAUCGAGGGCUGCAACCCGCCCUCGUGAAGCUGGAAUCCCUAGUAAUCGCGUGUCAUUAUCGCGCGGUGAAUGCGUCGCUGCUCCUUGCACACACCGCCCGUCAAGCCAUCCGAGUGGGAUCUGGAUGAGGCUUGUUCAUUGAG
RNAcentral lists this ribosomal RNA (317 nucleotides) under uncultured archaeon. RNAcentral describes it as "bacterial SSU rRNA". It matches the Rfam family "Archaeal small subunit ribosomal RNA", at positions 1078 to 1398 of the family's 1478-position model. The record is from RNAcentral.